GAUCAUGGCUCAGGAUGAACGCUAGCGACAGGCCUAACACAUGCAAGUCGAGGGGCAACAUGGUAUCAGCUUGCUGAUACCGAUGGCGGCCGGCGCACGGGUGAGUAACGCGUAUGUAAUCUACCUGUAACAGAGGGAUAACCCGGAGAAAUCCGGACUAAUACCUCAUAGCACAUAUUAUUCGCAUGAAUUUUAUGUUAAAGAGACUCGGUUACAGAUGAACAUGCG
This 228-nucleotide ribosomal RNA is filed under the name uncultured bacterium. Its description in RNAcentral is "partial 16S ribosomal RNA". It matches the Rfam family "Bacterial small subunit ribosomal RNA", at positions 15 to 235 of the family's 1533-position model. The record is from RNAcentral.